This is a long non-coding RNA of Dama dama (fallow deer), 1352 nucleotides long. RefSeq lists it as uncharacterized. NCBI's taxonomy places the organism in Eukaryota, Metazoa, Chordata, Mammalia, Artiodactyla, Cervidae. The transcript is spliced from 3 exons. The record is from RefSeq and is a predicted model, not a curated record.
UUCCCACGCUGACUUAACUCCUUUGCCCACAGGUUCCCCUUAUCGUCAAAGCUCCUGAGAUGGACAAACCAGAGCUGCCUCCUCUUCCUCCUCCUCCCCCGCCUCUUCCUCCCGGAACUUUUCCUGCUCAGAUAACAAAGGCCCUUUGACCUUCCUGUUCCUCCAGCCAGGCUUCCACUCAAGCCAUAACCCUCCAGGAGAAUCCAUUCAACAGCUACAAAUAACCAGGCAGGACGUGGAGAUCAAAAAGCCCUAAACAAUGACUGUGGCUCCUGGGCGCCUGGCGGUGGCGGCAGAGAUGAACCAGCCACCAUCGCUUUCUUCAAAGGGCUCUGGGGCUGGUGCGGCUGCUGCCACAGACAAGCUCUGACCCGGAUGCCUGAUUUUGCCUCUGAUUUUGCCUCCUGAUUUUGCCUCUGAUCCUGGAAAAGCCCUUCCUGUCUGGUGCCUCAGUCCCCUCUCCUGUAAAAUGGGGUAAUAACAUCAACCCUGGAGGGCUGUUCUGAGGACGAAAUCAGAUAAAGCACUGUGCUGGAGCCACGAGAAGUAUCCCAAGAGGCAGACAGGACACUUGCUGGACCACAAAGGAGGCGCAGAGAGGGGACGGGCCAGGAGCAAAAGGGAAAAGACUGCGGGAAAGCCAGGCAGCUGCCCACGACGUGCCUCUGAGAAACGGAGUUUGCCAGCGUGGAGAAAUCCAGGAAGACUUCCCCGGUGGUCCAGUGGAGAAGAAUCCGCCUGCCCAGUGCAAGAGACACGGGUUCCGUCCCUGGUCCAGGGAGAUUCUGCCUGCGGCGGAACGACUAAGCACGUGCACCACAGCUGCUGAGCCCACGUGAUGUAACUGCUGAAGCCCGCGGGCCUGGAACCCGGGCUCCGCAACAAGAGAGGCCACCACGAGGAGAAGCGCAUGCUCCGCAACUAGGGAACAGCCCCCACGCUCUGCAACUAGGGAAAGGCCCGAGUGCCGCGGUGAAGACCCGGUGCAACCAAAUAAUAAUAAUAAUAAACAAGGGGAUUCUUAACCACUGGACCACCAGGGAAGUCUGAGUCCAGGAACGUCUGACCAGCCCUUUGCCUGGGAAAGCCUGACGCUGAUGGAUUUUGAUUACAAAGCUCCUGAUUACCAGAGAUGGCAAGUCCAGUACUGAAGCCUCUAAAGUUUUCCUCCUCAAUAUCAGCAUUUAUGUAAAUAACCUAUAACCCCCGGUCCAGAGAUCAGGCCCAGGUGUUCUUUGGAUUCUUUCAGGGAAAGGGAAGUUAAUCCUGGCAGCUGUGUGUUUGAGGGAUUUUCUGGGGAAGCUGGGGUAGUUUUAGAAAUUAAAGGUAUUUACUGGGGAGGUGAGGCUAGA